AUGGACAAGUUCACCAAAUGGGCUGAAGUAGAGGCUGUCCGCACCAUUCCCGCGGGUUCCGCGGUCAAGUUCAUCAAGGGCAUCGUGAGCCGGUUUGGGGUGCCAAAUCGCAUCAUCACGGACAACGGUUCGCAGUUCACCAGUAACCUCUUCAAAACAUAUUGUGCUAACCUUGGAACACAGAUAUGCUACGCUUCGGUGGCGCACCCCCGAAGCAAUGGCCAGGCCGAGCGAGCCAACGCGGAGGUCCUGAGGGGCCUCAAGACCAGGACGUUCAAGAAGAAGCUGGAGGCCUGCGGCAGAGGUUGGUACGAUGAGCUUCAGUCCGUGUUGUGGUCCAUCCGCACAACCGCGACCAAGCCGACUGGAGAGACCCCGUUCUUCCUGGUCUAUGGAGCCGAAGCGGUCCUCCCUCACGAGGUCAGACGUCGCUCCGUGCGUGUCCUGGCGUUUGACGAGGCGCAGCAAGACGCCAUGCGGGGGAUGGACCUCGUGCUGGGGGAGGAACGUCGCCGAGAAGCCGCGCUACGAGCGGCGAGGUACCAACAAGCACUGCGACGAUAUCACUGCCGCAACAUCCGCCCCAGAACUCUCGAGGUAGGAGACCUCGUGCUUAGGCGGGUUCUCUCCAGGGAGGGGCUGCACAAGCUCUCUCCCAUGUGGGAGGGCCCAUUCAAAGUUGUUCAUGUUUCCAAGCCUGGCUCCACGUGCUUGGAGACUCAGGAGGGGGUGCCAGUGCAGAAUGCAUGGAACAUCCAGCACCUCCGGAGGUUCUACCCCUAA
This 783-nucleotide ribosomal RNA is filed under the name Triticum aestivum (bread wheat). RNAcentral's name for it is "partial small subunit ribosomal RNA". Lineage: Eukaryota; Viridiplantae; Streptophyta; Magnoliopsida; Poales; Poaceae. The record is from RNAcentral.